This 698-nucleotide long non-coding RNA is filed under the name Vulpes vulpes (red fox). RNAcentral describes it as "lncRNA (ENSVVUG00000012650.1)". Lineage: Eukaryota; Metazoa; Chordata; Mammalia; Carnivora; Canidae. The record is from RNAcentral.
GCCACUGCUAUUAUUACAGGUAAUAAUAAUAGUAAUAAUGAUAACAUAAUGUUAUCCAUUGUUUGAUCUGUCAUCAAGUUUUUGUUUUUUCUAUCCUCCACAGAAUAAGCAAACAUUUAGAGAAUUGUGUAUAUUCCCAGCAAAAGUGGAUAGACUCAGCUUUUGUCAAAGUAAUGCUGCAGCGAUGAGAUGGAGAAUUCUACUUCCAGUUAUUAAUUACCCCACAUAUUCCACAGAACUGAUAAAGUUUUCAUGGAAUGAACUACAAAGCAUGGAGGCAAAGCAUGAAAAUCAGACUGUGGAAGUUCUCUGAACCUAAAGUGUGCUCUGUCAAAGAAAUGAGAGCAAAGCUACAUGAAGUAAUAACUUGUACUUUUUUAGGAAUAGCAAAGCAGCAGAGGUAAUUAAGAAUAAUGUAUAAAAAGGUAGAAUCAACAUAACUCAUAUAAAAAGGUUAAUAAGGUUUAUCACCUAGACCAAUCUUGAGGCAGGUUUGAAAUUGUGUGUGUUUGGAAGGCACCAAAGCAGGUGAUUAGAUACAAUAUUUAGCUUGAUGUGCAGGGAAAGCAACUGGGAUGAAGCAAAUCAGUUUCCUGGACUCUAAUGCAGGGAACGUGGAGGGUUUUAUUAAAUAUAAUGUUAAAUUUAGAUUUAUGGCUCCUGUUGAUCCACUAGAAUAAACUGACAUUGUCCUAUCA